GAGAGUAUAGCUCAGUGGUAGAGUGCAUGCCUAGCAGGCAUGAGGUCCUUGGUUCAAUUCCCAGUAUCUCA
RNAcentral lists this transfer RNA (71 nucleotides) under Camelus bactrianus (Bactrian camel). It matches the Rfam family "tRNA". From Rfam's summary of the family: Transfer RNA (tRNA) molecules are approximately 80 nucleotides in length. Their secondary structure includes four short double-helical elements and three loops (D, anti-codon, and T loops). Lineage: Eukaryota; Metazoa; Chordata; Mammalia; Artiodactyla; Camelidae. RNAcentral also lists the same sequence under 2 other names. The record is from Rfam by way of RNAcentral.